CAAACGGCCCUUUUCAGGGCCACCAAAUUGAAUGCAACAGAGCGUU
Trichuris suis (pig whipworm) is the source of this 46-nucleotide non-coding RNA. NCBI's taxonomy places the organism in Eukaryota, Metazoa, Nematoda, Enoplea, Trichinellida, Trichuridae. The record is from Rfam.